Molecule: long non-coding RNA, 247 nt
Organism: Salvelinus namaycush (lake trout)
Lineage: Eukaryota; Metazoa; Chordata; Actinopteri; Salmoniformes; Salmonidae
Exons: 3
Source: RefSeq, a predicted model, not a curated record
CGCUUCUCCAUGCAGGACGUCUGUAAACAGGAAUAGGAGCGUCACCGGUCACUGAGCUACAAGCUAAAGUUAGCUAGUUAGUCACAGAAAUGCCCUCGAUUCCCAAACCUGAAGUCCCCUGUCGCCAGGAGGAGAGACCAGAUGCUGUGGUAUUUAAUUUACCGGCUGCACCAGUUCCUACUACACUGGCUGUGAAGGGAGAAGCUUUUGAGGAUUCCCAGAUGGAUACAGGUAAUUCAGAAUUAUA